Molecule: transfer RNA, 67 nt
Filed under: Cryptocotyle lingua
Lineage: Eukaryota; Metazoa; Platyhelminthes; Trematoda; Opisthorchiida; Heterophyidae
Description: tRNA-Leu
Source: RNAcentral
ACAUGAGUGCCAGAAGUUUAUAAUGGGUUGGUUUUAAGCAUCAAAUAUGGAUUUAUUCCCUUGUGUA